RNAcentral lists this ribosomal RNA (392 nucleotides) under uncultured bacterium. RNAcentral's name for it is "bacterial SSU rRNA". It matches the Rfam family "Bacterial small subunit ribosomal RNA", at positions 137 to 518 of the family's 1533-position model. The record is from RNAcentral.
CCCGGGAUAGCCCAGGGAAACCUGGAUUAAUACCGGAUGAGACGGGACCCGCGAUGGCGGGAUCCGGGAAGGCGCUGCGGCGCCGCCGGGGGAUGAGUCUGCGUCCCAUUAGCUAGACGGCGGGUAACGGCCACCGUGGCGACGAUGGGUAGCCGGCCUGAGAGGGUGGACGGCCACAUUGGAACUGAGACACGGUCCAGACUCCUACGGGAGGCAGCAGCUAAGAAUCUCCGCAAUGGGCGAAAGCCUGACGGAGCGACGGCCCGCGUGAACGAAGAAGGCCGUGAGGUUGUAAAGUUCUUUUCGGGAGGGGGAACAACCGUGGCAGGGAAUGGCCGCGGGAUGACGUGAAUCCCGGAAUAAGCCCCGGCUAACUACGUGCCAGCAGCAGC